This 75-nucleotide transfer RNA is filed under the name Microcoleus sp. FACHB-831. It matches the Rfam family "tRNA". Rfam says of the family: Transfer RNA (tRNA) molecules are approximately 80 nucleotides in length. Their secondary structure includes four short double-helical elements and three loops (D, anti-codon, and T loops). Further hydrogen bonds mediate the characteristic L-shaped molecular structure. tRNAs have two regions of fundamental functional importance: the anti-codon, which is responsible for specific mRNA codon recognition, and the 3' end, to which the tRNAs corresponding amino acid is attached (by aminoacyl-tRNA synthetases). tRNAs cope with the degeneracy of the genetic code in two manners: having more than one tRNA (with a specific anti-codon) for a particular amino acid; and 'wobble' base-pairing, i.e. permitting non-standard base-pairing at the 3rd anti-codon position. Lineage: Bacteria; Bacillati; Cyanobacteriota; Cyanophyceae; Oscillatoriales; Microcoleaceae. The record is from Rfam by way of RNAcentral.
GAGAGCGUAGUUUAAAUGGAUAAAAUCUCGGUCUACGAAACCGAAGACGUGGGGGUUCGAGUCCCUCCGCUCUCG